This 45-nucleotide non-coding RNA is filed under the name Schistosoma mansoni. Lineage: Eukaryota; Metazoa; Platyhelminthes; Trematoda; Strigeidida; Schistosomatidae. The record is from RNAcentral.
GUCCGUCUGACGAGGUUCAAAUAGAACGAAACGCGCGUCCUGGAU